Molecule: ribosomal RNA, 301 nt
Filed under: uncultured bacterium
Lineage: Bacteria
Description: partial 16S ribosomal RNA
Rfam family: Bacterial small subunit ribosomal RNA
Source: RNAcentral
CAGCCGCCGCGGGAAUACGAAGGGGGCUAGCGUUGCUCAGAAUUACUGGGCGUAAAGGGAGCGUAGGCGGGUCGUUUAGUCAGAGGUGAAAUCCCGGGGCUCAACCUCGGAACUGCCUUUGAUACUGGCGACCUUGAGUAUGGGAGAGGUAAGUGGAACUCCGAGUGUAGAGGUGAAAUUCGUAGAUAUUCGGAAGAACACCAGUGGCGAAGGCGACUUACUGGCCCAUUACUGACGCUGAGGCUCGAAAGCGUGGGGAGCAAACAGGAUUAGAUACCCCAGUAGUCCCUGUCUCUUAUAC